GCCGAGGUGGCGAAAUUGGUAGACGCGCUAGACUCAAAAUCUAGUGAUGGUGACAUCGUGUCGGUUCGAGUCCGACUCUCGGUACCA
Molecule: transfer RNA, 87 nt
Filed under: Candidatus Halobeggiatoa sp. HSG11
Lineage: Bacteria; Pseudomonadati; Pseudomonadota; Gammaproteobacteria; Thiotrichales; Thiotrichaceae
Also listed under: 1 other name
Description: tRNA-Leu
Rfam family: tRNA
About the family: Transfer RNA (tRNA) molecules are approximately 80 nucleotides in length.
Source: RNAcentral